ACGAAAUGAGUGAGGAGACCACAACCUCCAGAGUAUUUAUGAAACGUAACUUUUGCAGCACUAUAGACCACAAAAUAUUCACAUAUAUUCACAUACAAUUAAUGACCAUAGUAACUUGCGCAAGCUCGAACGUGAAAAAGAGCAGGAGGUUAUGAAAAUGUUUCUGGAGGAAGGAAGGGGCCAGUUAGCCAGUUUGGCCCAGGCCCGACGUAUGUUACAGAGAGAUGAGGAGAGGACAGCUGAGAAGGUUAAAUGGAUCGAUGAGCCCCCGCCUUACAAGGGCGCACAAUGCCCUCUAGUAUCGGCGGUAGUAACGAUCAAAGGAGAGGUUGAGAUGGAAAGGGACAAACCCUGGGUGUCUUCCCCUUUGGGGAAAGGUGGACGGUCCAAGGGAAAACCUGCCCUUCAACUAGAUUGUUACAAAGAAUGUAUAGAUUGGUUGGAGUGUAAUAAGACGGGAGGGGGGAAAUCAAGAGACAGGAAGAGCAAGUCCAAAAGCUGUCAACGUAAGCUUGUCCAGCAGGUAGAACAACUUAGGGAGUCGCAGUGGGGGGAGUCAGAUCCACAGGAUGACACAGACAGCCAGGCAGAGGAGGAACAGGAACAGUCUGAGGAAGAGUAUGAGGGGGCCGCAGCUGCUCCUGGCCGCUAUGGCAGGGAGCCAGAGGGUAGACUAAGGAGCGCACACACAUUAAAAACACCCAGGCACUAUACCAAAAUGGCACCUAUUCUAGUUAAGGGGCAUCAACAUCAUUAUGUACCAUGGCCAACUCAGGAAAUGGAGGGCCUGGUUGUGAAAUUACCUAAUCUCCACAAUGGGGCUGGAAAAUGGAUUAGAGUGCUUGAAGAAUUGACCACGGGUAAAAUACUGGCGACGGGGGACAUCAAAGCCUUGCUGGUCAGAGUGCUGGGUACGACUAAAGCGGAGGUGGUGCUCAAAGAUGGUGGCAUGGCAUGGACAAUCGGGAGUGUUGUCGGAGAUGGGCGGUCCUUCGAUCCCUACAGACAUUUGUUGUGGAAGGCCCUGAGGGAAGAGUUCCCUGCUGUGGUGGACACUGUUGCUUUGAGAGGGGCUCCACUGGGGGACACAGACAGCCCUGCUGAAUACUUACAAAAGCAGGCGGACAGAUGGAGAAUGGAAACUGAACAUGACCCAGAAACUGACAAACUUGUGUCUCAUAUGUUCAGGAAAGCGUUGGUGGAAGCAAUGCCAGCUCCCAUAAGAACCAAGCUGGAGGAUGCUGUGGGGGUGACUACAUCAAAGACUCACAAAGAAUUUAGAGACUAUUUCGUUCAUGCUGUUGACAGAUACAGACAAAAUGAAAAAAUACUGGCUGAACAGGGGAGGGAUAUUCAGAGAAAACUCAAAACUCAAACCCAAUUACAGCUUGAUACCUGACAAAAAGAAAAAAGACCCAAGCUCCGGUUACUACAGAGGCCUCACCUGACACAAUGGCGCCUAUCCUCCAGGGAGGUCAACGCCCAGCACAACAGCCACAGGCUAUGUAUGGACCUCCCCAAAAACCAGUGGCAAAUGUGUAUACACAGCCCCCAAAAAAAGAUCAGAAUAUUGGAAGGUACCAACCUCAGAAUCUAGGUGGGCCCGGGGCCCUUAGGAAAGCCUGUUGGGGUGUCAACAAGAGGGGUACAUCAGACGAUUCUGUCCACUGAACCUGUGGAACUCCACUGCAUUUAACCCGGCCACCAAUGGUCAGGGUUGGCAGGGAGGCAACCGGGCCCCAGGGGUGUGGCAGCAGCCGCCAGGCCCGCCCAGCCAAGGUCCCGUAAAUCCUUAUGCAGGACCAAACCAGCAAUACUGAGGAGGCCCAGAGAAUCCUAUGGUGGAGGGUCAGUUUGUAACACUAACAUCACAGGCUGACGAGGAACCAAUGCUGCAGGUUCGUAUAAAUGAUAGGGGCACACCAAUGAUGGUAGAUACUGGAGUUACUUACACUUGUGUAAGUCCAAAUUACGCCUCUCACCUCCCCAAGUCAGGUAAAUAUGCUAAGACAAAAGGAUUCUCGGGACAAACGCAGCUAAUACCCAUGACAGCUCCAGUCAAAGUAACCACGAGCGGACGCUCGAUAGAAAUUCCUAUUUUAAUAUCUGAACACACUCCUGUAAACUUAUUAGAUCGGGGCGCCCUGUGCCGGCUGGGGCUACAAAUUCAGUGUUCACCAGAUGGGAUAAUCAUAGAUAACUUGGGAAUCAAAACUCAAUUGUCAAUUCACCAGGCACCAUUGGCUAACGUGUACUGGAUUGGUAACAUAGAAAACGCUGUUAGGGAGGUCACUUGUAAGUGGGGUUUGUACAUUGAAGCACAAUUACCACAGGCUAGACAGCCAGCAUUAGCCUACCAUUGCCCUCUAAAAUAUGAUCCUCAUCAGGAGUGCAUUUUCGAGCAGUUGUGGUUAGAUACAGUAAACGGUAAGCCAGUUCACGCUGUGUCUCAGUACUUUGUCAUUGGUAAACAGGGUGUGGCUAUGGAAAUAACUGAUGCUGAAGGUUCAACUCUGAUAGCCGAUUGGUUUGAUGUAUCCGGAUCAGUCCCCCACAUCACACUGCUGGUAAACGAUGGGUUCAAAGCAAAAGACCUGGGCCCUAUGAUGAAACAUGCAACGCAGGUUGCAUGGGUCAAAACUGACAAUCCCCUAAUCUUCUGUUCUCCUGAAAAUUAUCUCAUUAAAAUCCUUUGUUUUGCAGACAUUAUUGGGGAACCUCAGGAGGUCGAAGUCACCACAGGUCAGCAAGUGCAGAUGGGGAAAGUGGCAGACAGGCAGGAACAGUUACGGGAGGAGAUGGAGCGGGUGGUCCUGGAGCACUUGUGGUCUCGACAUGACACAGAUGUAGGGCUCGUUAAAUCAGCUAGUCCUGUGUUCAUUAAAGUGAAGCCAGGGGCCAAACCGGUAUGGAAGAAACAGUACUACAUGAAACCAGAGGCGGUGGCAGGUAUUGAACCCACCAUUGGGGGUCUAGCAGAGGCAGACGUGCUUGAGGAAAGUUAGCGAUUGUAACACACCUUUGUUCCCUGUUCUAAAAGCAGAUAAGCAGAAGUGGAGACUGGUUCUCCACGAUGCCAUUGGGUCACAUUUCAACACCAGAGGGACCGUUCAGACAUUUAGUCAUGGACUAUGUGGAUAUGAUAAGACCAAUCCAUGGAAAACGGUACAUGCUGGUGGUAAUUGAUAGGUUCAGCAGGUGGAUAGAAGCAACCCCCUCGAAAGAUCAGGGAGCAGGGACAGUAAUAAGGUUCCUGACAAGAGAGGUGAUGCCUAGAUUUGGCAUACCGUCAGAAAUCAGUUCUGACAAUGGGUCGGCUUUUAUUCAAAGGACACUGAAGCAGGUGAUUCAACACUUCAACAUCAAACAGAGGCUGGGUUGUGUUUACCAUCCCCAGUCCCAGGGCAUGGUAGAGAGAGCAAACGGCACGCUAAAGACCAAGAUCAAUAAGAUCUGUGCCAGCACAGGUUUGAAUUGGGUUGAUGCUCUACCAAUAGCACUAAUGAGUUGUCGCAUGGAAGCUAACAGAACCACGCAUCUAACACCGCACGAAAUGCUUACGGGUCGACCCAUGCCUGUGCCUGAGCUUCAAGGCCCUCACGAAGGGCCUCCUCUGGAGCAAUUGGAGCUGGAAUUCAGGGAAUAUAUCAGGCAACUAACUACUAUACCUGAGCUUAUUUACAAACAGGAAAGUGCGCGGGUACCGGAGCCAGAGGACGAUCAGCCCAGGGCGGUGGUUCCAGGAGACCAGGUUUACAUCAGGGUCUACAGGAGGAGGUGGAAAGAGCCCAGGAGAGACAGGCCACGGUGACGGCGGUACGAGUGGAGGGCAGCGACACGUGGUGCCACCUCAACCAUUGCACCAAGGUCCCACGAGGAGCGGAACAACAUGAGGAGGAUAAGAAUGCUGAUCUUCCAGGCACCCCCAACGCCAGAGAAACUGGUACCUUCGCCGGAGCCAUCCGAGUCCAGCAGAGAGGCGCCAAAGCCUGCUGCUGACAGCUCUGGGGCUAUGGUUGAUGCUGCCGAUCCUAGGAGAGAGGGGACGGGCGACGGCAGAACGGAUCCCUCAACUGGUGCCUCCGCAGGAAACAUCUAAGGGGGGCCGCACCCUCCUGACAUCAGUAGGAAACAGUGUCCCAUCACCGACCCCACCGACCUCGACUGACACUACAGAACUUAUUACUGACCCUAGAAACCCAGACACUGACCUUGACAGGAGGAAUGAGGCAUGUACAGCAGCAUUAUUAGCAAUGCAGGAAUAGAAAUCGCAGUCUUCAUUAGUACAGACAAGUCUGGCAAUAAGGACGAAACCACAUGGUUAGGAAGGGUAGAAGAAAAGGAACAGCAAUGGAAGAUUGUGGGUCACAGUGGGAAAGGGGAGUGUGGCCCGCAGGACAGAGAGGAGGUUCAAAGUGAGGUAUUUGGUUAGAUGCAGUCGAAGGAAAUGUAGAGUGAACGCGACACCUUCUGUUACUAGAGCCAGAGCAGAACGGUUGCUUGAGAGAGUCAAGCCCACCUUAUCAAAGAGAGAGAGAGGCUGGGGAGAAAGGAAUGGGGAAUUAUGGGGCCUAGCGUGGGAUAGAGAACUAGGUAGUGCAGACUCCGACACCUCGGCGAGGGAAAAGAGAAGAUUAAGCAUGUGGUGUACUCAAAGCUAGAGAGGCUAGAAUACCCGCUAAAACCAGCGAUGAAGCCCAGAGAUCGAUAAUGGUAAACACCCAGGGUGGGGAAACACUGUGUUCUUGGGCAGAUAGUGGCCUAUACGGUCAAGCAACUUGGUCUGCAGGUAAAUGUGUCAUCACUGUACAUGAGACAAGUGGCAGAUGGGAUAUAAUUGUGCAACAUAAUAACGAGCAUCAGUUGUCUCUCCAGCUAACCAUUACCAGAUUCCCGGACGGUACCGAGAACCAUCCAAUAGAAUGGUGGAACCCAGAUGAGGGUGGCUCAGGGGAGGAGUCAUCACCUACGGCGGCAGUAGGAAAGGAGCCUCUAGUCCCUGUAUCCAGGGCAGGACGGCACGCAGCCCCAGGGGCCACGGAAGGGUGGAGAUGGCUCCCUGUACCCACGACAGAACAGGCCUUGAUUGAGGCAUUGAUGGACGGCCCGACCCGAAUGCUCCCCUGGUGGAGGCCUUCGUGAACCAGUUGUAUGAAGAAACGGGAGAGGUUUAUGUCGGAAUGGAUACAGUGGGGAAGAGUAACCCUUCUAAUCCACAGCGGGAUGUUAAAGUUUAUGAUAAGAUACCGCGCAGACACUAUCCAUGCCCAUAUAGGAUGAGUCAUUGCCAGUAUUGCAGCAAAUGAUGCCCGGCU
This is a long non-coding RNA of Esox lucius (northern pike), 5315 nucleotides long. NCBI's taxonomy places the organism in Eukaryota, Metazoa, Chordata, Actinopteri, Esociformes, Esocidae. The record is from Ensembl.